UGUUCUGGGUGUUACGCUGCGUCUGUGUGUGUGCAAACUGAUGAGCAGCAUGCUGUUGUGUUCGUCUGUAAUCACACACACCAUCACUGCGGUCAGUCUGUGCUGCAGCUGCCUGCUGUUAUUUACAGACCUCGCUGUCACUGUCUUUUUGCUCUACGUCUGGUUCAUGGAGUCCUGGUUGACGCCUUUUAACGCGUCUUCGGAUGUCAUCGCCCUUCGAUUUCUGCUCUUCCUUUGCAAGGCCUAUGGAGUUGUGUUGCUGCUGAUGCCGCCUUUGAUUGCUGUGGAGUUGUUGGUUGAUCUGCUGUGUCCUCAAGGCAGGCGAACAAAGGGACGAGAUGCAAGUGAAUCCCUCUCUAGUACAGUUGGCUACUUGGGAUGUUUUCUAGCAUGGAGCAUGAGCGGGAUCUACAGCAGCCACGACUGGAUGCUGGAGCAGAUCUCAGUGGAAACCUGUCAAGGAAAAGGUGGCCAUCUUCUCACCUGCCUUCCCUGUGCUGAUGAGUUUUCCUGGGUUCUUCCUUCUAUGGUGGUCCUGUUGAGCUUGACGGGGAGUCUGCGUCUGUUCAGGACAAAGGUGUCCCGACGACUGCCUGACUCAUCUAAAACCACACAGAUGGGCGAGAAAAAGGACUAUUUGGGCCCUGGGUUAAUGCAUAUGUCACAAACUCUGGUUGACUCAGAAAAAACACCCAACAGCUGUGGCGUUCACACGGCUGGGUUUGAGAACAGUGAGCCACGACGGAUCUGUCCUGGGAAUGGUGUACUGUGCACUCAACAAACCGGUUUGGCAGACAAUAUCGAGAAACAAAAGCAAUCAUCCAGCCUUGCAACAUUUGCACAGUCCAAAACCGGUCUUCCUCUGGAAGUCACAUCCUUGGCGGUCUUUAACAGGACAGACGCAAAGUCUCAAAGCAGACGCUGUUGGUUUCCCAAAAGGGAAAGUCCCUGCUCAGGGCGAGAAAUCUUCACAGGGUUGGUAUGCGUGGCUCUGGUUUGUGUUUUUCCCACAGUCGUCAGCGGUAAUAUUCUCCUAAUCUUUAACCUGGAGAAUCUGGUGGUGUACAACUUGAAACUCUUAUCUCUAUCGGUCAACAGAGUACCGGAUCUGUAAGUGCUGAAGGUGCAGAUGUGGGUAUAAACCAAUACAAAUCUGUAUAUUCAACCUUCUGGUGCUCUUUGGUCAUUUUUGACUAAAAAUUGUAUGUUUUGUUGUUUACUUCAUUAGAAUGAUACAAACUUUUGUAAAGGUUUUGGCACUUGUGUGAAAAAAAAUAAAUCUAAAAGAUUUGAAAAGGUGAUUUAAAAUGACUGGAAUCAUUGGACACA
This 1329-nucleotide long non-coding RNA is filed under the name Sinocyclocheilus grahami. RNAcentral describes it as "lncRNA (ENSSGRG00000030455.1)". The record is from RNAcentral. Lineage: Eukaryota; Metazoa; Chordata; Actinopteri; Cypriniformes; Cyprinidae.